CAAUAGCGUAUAUUAAAGUUGUUGCAGUUAAAAAGCUCGUAGUUGGAUUUCUGGUGGGAGCGAUCGGUCUGGCGCUUAGCGCGAGUACUUGCAUCGUCUCCGGCCAUCCUUGGGGAGAGUCUGUCUGGCAUUAGGUUGUCGGGCAGAGGAUCCUCAUCGUUUACUGUGAAAAAAUUAAAGUGUUCAAAGCAGGCUUAUGCCGUUGAAUAUAUUAGCAUGGAAUAAUAAGAUAGGACUUUGGUACUAUUUUGUUGGUUUGCGCACCAAAGUAAUGAUUAAUAGGGACAGUUGGGGGUAUUCGUAUUCCGUUGUCAGAGGUGAAAUUCUUGGAUUUACGGAAGACGAACUACUGCGAAAGCAUUUACCAAGGAUGUUUUCAUUAA
Molecule: ribosomal RNA, 383 nt
Filed under: uncultured eukaryote
Lineage: Eukaryota
Description: partial 18S ribosomal RNA
Rfam family: Eukaryotic small subunit ribosomal RNA
Source: RNAcentral